UAGGGAAUCUUCGGCAAUGGGGGGAACCCUGACCGAGCAACGCCGCGUGAGUGAAGAAGGUUUUCGGAUCGUAAAGCUCUGUUGUUAAGGAAGAACGAGUGUGAGAAUGGAAAGUUCAUACUGUGACGGUACUUAACCAGAAAGGGACGGCUAACUACGUGCCAGCAGCCGCGGUAAUACGUAGGUCCCGAGCGUUGUCCGGAUUUAUUGGGCGUAAAGCGAGCGCAGGCGGUUAGAUAAGUCUGAAGUUAAAGGCAGUGGCUCAACCAUUGUAGGCUUUGGAAACUGUUUAACUUGAGUGCAGAAGGGGAGGGUGGAAUUCCAUGUGUAGCGGUGAAAUGCGUGGAUAUAUGGAGGAACACCGGUGGCGAAAGCGGCUCUCUGGUCUGUAACUGACGCUGAGGCUCGAAAGCGUGGGGAGCGAACAGG
This 429-nucleotide ribosomal RNA is filed under the name Bacteroidota bacterium. RNAcentral's name for it is "Bacteroidetes bacterium partial 16S ribosomal RNA". It matches the Rfam family "Bacterial small subunit ribosomal RNA", at positions 355 to 776 of the family's 1533-position model. Lineage: Bacteria; Pseudomonadati; Bacteroidota. The record is from RNAcentral.